Molecule: non-coding RNA, 477 nt
Organism: Camellia sinensis
Lineage: Eukaryota; Viridiplantae; Streptophyta; Magnoliopsida; Ericales; Theaceae
Source: RefSeq, a predicted model, not a curated record
GUGUCUUUGAGCAUAGAGCAGCACCCAAAUGAAGCAAGAAAGAAGAGAGUUUCAGUAAACAUAUUCUUAUUCAGAUUGAAACACUCAGCUCUACUCUACCUCACAGAUGACAUGACAAUCUCAGCGCAAAUGGGUUCUAAAGAGGAUCGAAAUUGUUUUGAGCAAAAUGAUGAGAAGUAAGGUACGAGAUGAUGGGAAGAUGUGAGACACCAAUUUCGUCCAACUGUUAGUAGGUUGAUGUUGAUAAAGAAGGCAAGGGUGAGUAUGAUGGGUCCGACUCUAGAACGGUUGAGGAGACUAUGGGACCUGUGGGAUAUUCGAGUGCUAGUUCUCGUUAGUCUCACUUUACAAAUCAUUCUUUUUAUCUUUGGCAAUCGCAGAAAGUACAUGUCAUUGAAAUGGAUCAACAUCUUUGUUUGGUUGGCCUACUUAGCUGCCGAUUCGAUAGCAACUUUUGCCCUUGGCAAUCUCUCUCGU